This 530-nucleotide long non-coding RNA is filed under the name Homo sapiens (human). RNAcentral's name for it is "HSALNT0314262". The record is from RNAcentral. Lineage: Eukaryota; Metazoa; Chordata; Mammalia; Primates; Hominidae.
GGCAGGAGACCUGGCCAGCAGCGGCCGGAGCCUCAUGUAACGCUGCCUGUGGCACCAACGCUGUGGGCACGGGGCAAACGGGUGGAGUUUGAGCCCUUGGCACCAAACAGGCACAAAUAGCAGCUGCAGCAGCAUGUACAUUCACGGAGUACAGUGCAGAGGUUUCUGAUGAGUCAAAUGGAAAGUGGAUUUUGUCUUGAUGUAACUCAGAAAGCAGAUGCAAGAAUGAUACUGACUUGGUAGAAUGAGAAGAUGAGAUUCAAGCUCCUGCCAGUUAUCUCUGCUCAACCCUCAGACAGCCCCAGGGAGUGGAAGCACCAGACGGCACUGAGGAUGGACCUACAGGCAUAAAACUACUGUGUUACAGCCACUACCAAUGCCACUGAAUUUCCCAGGGUCUAAUGUUGACCUCAGGCUCGCCAGCAAAGGAGGAAGAACAUAAGAGACCUCAAUAUUUAGAGGGUUUUACAUUUCCUAUACAAAAAAAGAGCAAACGAAGAGUGAAGAGCUAGCUGCUACAGUAAAAGAGG